GCUUUCGUUUCUCAAUCCUCCGAUCAAAAUUUUGAGACUUGGGUUUUUAAUUUUCUAUUGAUUAACGCUUUCACUUUUGAGUUUUUGGCAUUGAAAUGUAAAGUUGAGAUUUCGAAAUUGUUCAAAAGUUUGUUUUCUUAAUUGUGGGUUUAUUGGAUUAUGUCAAGGAAGUUGCAUGCAUAGAGGAAUUAUUGGGCAUUAGGCGUGGCAGCAUUUCUAAUUUUGGGGUGCUUGGUGGAUGGGAAAUGGAGGAAGAAAUAUAAAAAUCUAGCUGUGAUUUUCUUUCCUCGGAAAAAAGCUUUGGUUUUCUAUUCUUCUUCUUCUUCUUCUUUUCAAGUUUUGUCUUGUUUGCUUAGAAUUUUUAUUUUUAUUUUUUAUCAAUGAUUUAAUCUUGUUUUGGGUACAUCAGAGAAAAUUACAAACUGGGGAGGGGGAGAUUGGAAUAUUCGACCUUAACUAUUGUGACGAGGGAUAGCAACGUUAAGCAAGCCUAAUUGUUAUGAUUUAAUGUGGUUAUAUCACUUGAGAAUCUACAAAAGUAUUGUUUAUGGCUUUCUUUAUGUAUUUGCGCAUCUAAUAUUUGUGUGUUUGUUUCUAAUGGUUGCAUGUAUCCUUAGAAUGUUAUUAUAACUGCAGAUAUUGGUACGUGAUGUAUCAAUGAAUGGCAUCUUCUGUGAAUCAUGUUGUAGGUGUUCUGGAUAAUCUGCAUAAGCUGCUAUCCUCAGUUCCUCACAUAUAAUUGAAUUGAAGUCUGAAAUUAUGCAAAUACAUUCAGCAGAUCGAUUUGAGAAAUUCUUCUUACUUAAAUAAAACUACCAGUAGUUAAUUGUCAACAUAGUAACUAGAUGAGAAGUGCAAGAGGUUCCUUGGUAAUGGAAGGCAAUGCUAGCUAUCAGCAAUUUUGAGAAAAGUCACUAAAUUAAUGGGCUAGGAAGGCAACUUAUAUAGAAGAUCAUGUAUUUGCUAGGAGGUUGAAUCAUAUUAUUUACAUAUUUUCAAUUGAAGCAUUUCAUAUGCUAUGUUAAGAGGUUGAACUUUCAGAUAAACUUUGUUCUUCAUAUGUUACCGAGAUAAUAAAAUCCAUUAUCUGUGAGGUUCUUUCCUCCAUUCUUUCCUA
Theobroma cacao (cacao) is the source of this 1117-nucleotide non-coding RNA. Lineage: Eukaryota; Viridiplantae; Streptophyta; Magnoliopsida; Malvales; Malvaceae. The record is from RefSeq and is a predicted model, not a curated record.